GAUGAACGCUGGCGGCGUGCCUAAUACAUGCAAGUCGAGCGAACAGAUAAUGAGCUUGCUCCUUUGACGUUAGCGGCGGACGGGUGAGUAACACGUGGACAACCUACCUAUCAGACUGGUAUAACUCCGGGAAACCGGGGCUAAUGCCGGAUAACAUUUAGAACCGCAUGGUUCUAAGGUGAAAGAUGGUUUUACUAUCACUUAUCGAUGGACCCGCGCCGUAUUAGCUAGUUGGUAAGGUAACGGCUUACCAAGGCAACGAUACGUAGCCGACCUGAGAGGGUGAUAGGCCACACUGGAACUGAGACGCGGUCCAGACUCCUGCGGGAGGGAGCAGUAGGGAAUCUGCCGCAAUGGGCGAAAGCCUGACGGAGCAACGCCGCGUGAGUGAUGAAGGCCUUCGGAUCGUAAAACUCUGUUAUUAGGGAAGAACAAAUGUGGAAGGAACUGUGCACGUCUUGACGGUACCGAAUCAGAAAGCAACGGCUAACUACGUG
RNAcentral lists this ribosomal RNA (497 nucleotides) under uncultured bacterium. RNAcentral's name for it is "partial 16S ribosomal RNA". It matches the Rfam family "Bacterial small subunit ribosomal RNA", at positions 28 to 507 of the family's 1533-position model. The record is from RNAcentral.